RNAcentral lists this ribosomal RNA (608 nucleotides) under Peribacillus muralis. RNAcentral describes it as "bacterial SSU rRNA". It matches the Rfam family "Bacterial small subunit ribosomal RNA", at positions 86 to 680 of the family's 1533-position model. Lineage: Bacteria; Bacillati; Bacillota; Bacilli; Caryophanales; Bacillaceae. The record is from RNAcentral.
UGUAUUACGCAGGCGGACGGGUGAGUAACACGUGGGCAACCUGCCUAUAAGACUGGGAUAACUUCGGGAAACCGGAGCUAAUACCGGAUACGUUCUUUUCUCGCAUGAGAGAAGAUGGAAAGACGGUUUACGCUGUCACUUAUAGAUGGGCCCGCGGCGCAUUAGCUAGUUGGUGAGGUAAUGGCUCACCAAGGCGACGAUGCGUAGCCGACCUGAGAGGGUGAUCGGCCACACUGGGACUGAGACACGGCCCAGACUCCUACGGGAGGCAGCAGUAGGGAAUCUUCCGCAAUGGACGAAAGUCUGACGGAGCAACGCCGCGUGAACGAAGAAGGCCUUCGGGUCGUAAAGUUCUGUUGUUAGGGAAGAACAAGUACCAGAGUAACUGCUGGUACCUUGACGGUACCUAACCAGAAAGCCACGGCUAACUACGUGCCAGCAGCCGCGGUAAUACGUAGGUGGCAAGCGUUGUCCGGAAUUAUUGGGCGUAAAGCGCGCGCAGGUGGUUCCUUAAGUCUGAUGUGAAAGCCCACGGCUCAACCGUGGAGGGUCAUUGGAAACUGGGGAACUUGAGUGCAGAAGAGGAAAGUGGAAUUCCAAGUGUAGCG